Homo sapiens (human) is the source of this 2345-nucleotide long non-coding RNA. Ensembl annotates it as long intergenic non-protein coding RNA 2436. The record is from Ensembl. NCBI's taxonomy places the organism in Eukaryota, Metazoa, Chordata, Mammalia, Primates, Hominidae.
GGAUUCGAGCCCCCAAUGGAUGGACACCACUUGCUGAGACCAGCUCGGUCAGGGAGGCCCUAACCCAGCGGCACUAGAGGAAUUAAAGACACACACACAUAAAUAUAGAGUAACAUAGAAUGUUGAUUGUCCUGAGUUCCAGAGCCUCAAAGAGCACCCAGCAUAACUGUGGGAGAAUAGUAAGCAUUGGACACAAAAUGGUUUAGGCAAAUAAUGAUGAACAAAAAUGGUCAGUCUGUGUUCCUGCUGACCCAGCACAGUGGGGACGCUGUGUAGGACAUGACCUUUGGGGGAAAGGACACAAGAACUCAGCGUGGGGGAUCCAGAAAAGAAGUCGCACGUAUUGAAGCCAGUAACGCCAAGCCAGUGAAUUCUCCUUGACGAGAAAGACCCACUUACUCUGCAGAAGAGAUAUAUGACAGCUGACAAUCCCUGGAGGAGAAUCUUUCUACUAAAUUGGUAAGGGAUGCUAAGCAAAUGAUGUGGACUCAGGAAACAACGCAUUUCAUGAUAUACGGUUGCCUCUCAAGGUGAAUUCGAGACCCCUCUUGAAUUACAAAGAGUUGAAAACAUUCAAGUACGGAAUAAACUAUUACUGCGAAUACGCUCAUAUGACACAAGAACAAUCUCUGAGCUUCUUUGAGGAUGUCCAGAUGACUGCUGACUGCACUAAUUGCAUCAAUCGUGUAUCCAUACAGGUUCUUUCUAUAAAAUAGUGGUCGCUAGUUAUGAGGCGUUAAGCCUUCAUGGAUAUAAACAGACUAUUCCACCUAAGUGAUCUGGCAGAAGCUUAGUUUUCUACCACAACAUCCACCGUCCUCCCUCCCUCCCUUCCUAGCUGGUCAGAAAAGCUACUCAGAAUAAAGACUACAUUUCCCAGCCAUCUUUGCAGCUAGGUUUAUCCACCUGACUAAAUUCCACCGGCAUCUAUUCAACGAAGACGAAUCCUGGAAUGGGGAUGGAAAUGAUGGCUCAUGUCUUAGCAAACUACCAAACUGAUCCGAGAGGACAGGGAAGUCAGUGUGGGCGGCUCUAAGGAGCCUCCCUCUCUACAGCUGCGGCUCAGAGGAUUACGGCGCUUCAUCCACAAGGCAACAUUGCACAAGUAGCUUUUGAACAAAAGUCAUGGAUACUAUUAAUGAUAUGGUAAUCCUUAAUCGAGCUACCUCCCAGUAGUGAUUAUACUGACAUGGGAAGAAUAUCUAAGUCGUGGAGGCAGCCCACAACAACACUGUGUCAUUGUUCACCCCGGGCUCGACCAGGACUAACUUUUACCAGCAUCUCUAACGUCACCUUUCCCCUGAUGCCUCCCCACAACCCCUGGCCCCAGCUCCCAUUCCCGCCCCAUCAUAGCAAAAAAGUAGCAAAGAAAACCCUGAUCCUAAAUCUUUUUCUGGAUUUUUUUUUGCAAGUUCCCACACACAUUUAGUGUCGUCUCAAAAUUCACGCUGUCAACUGUCUCUAGGAAUCAUUUCCAUCUGAGAACAGACCACACAAAGACACAGUGAAACUCAGUUUCUGCAGAAUUUGAUUUCAUUUGAGUUACUGGGGAACAAAGCAAUUAGACAAUGAAUAAUAGCUCAAGACAGGCUGAAGCUGAAGAUUUCUGCAAAAGAAUGAAGAGGAAACGUUUUGAUCCUGAGCAGAUGUUCUCCCUAGAUUGCUUCACCUGAGGUUGAUUGACUUUUGGAAACGAGAUUUGUUCCCAGUGCUUUGUGAGUCUCUUGUUGGAAGGACUGUCUUUAAAUUAAAGCAAUUAGAGUUACUUUAUAAGAUUUACCCAAAUAUAAGAGCUGAAGAGAAUAAUUCAAAUUGAUCAGAAGAAAAUACUCAAUUACUGACAAAUGUCAAUUACAUCAAUAGCCUAGGCUGCUCUUGAACUCCUGGGCUCAAACGAUCCUCCCCUGUCGGCCUCCCAAAGUGCUGGGAUUACAAGCUUGAACCACCAUGCCCAGCCUCAGAAAUUUUUUAAAUGACAGCUCAUACAGUUUUCUUUUAUAAAGGAGGAGAAAAUGUGUAAUUGUAAGCAGCUGAACUAAAAUAUCUCUGUGACAUUUUGCUGGUGACUCCAGCCCUGUGAGAUCUGAGUGGCUCAGGAAUCAAAUUCUCCCACAAACCUGAGGAAGCCUUUUAUUCUUAAUGCCAACAGGAUGCCCCAUGCCCAGAAUGUCAAAUCUGAACACCAAUGGAAUGCAUUUUAUAAACAAAUUGAAAAAGGACAAUCUUUAACAGAAUUGUUGUUCUCUAGGCAGAUUAGUUGUGCUUCAAAUACAAAAUGAAAUAUUAGAGAACAAAAUUAUUUUUAAACAGCUAAUACUAGUAGAAAAUAAAAGGCUGAAAAGUGC